RNAcentral lists this long non-coding RNA (508 nucleotides) under Pan troglodytes (chimpanzee). Its description in RNAcentral is "long non-coding RNA NONPTRT003926". Lineage: Eukaryota; Metazoa; Chordata; Mammalia; Primates; Hominidae. The record is from RNAcentral.
AGGUGUCACCAAAAUGCCAUCUGGGGGAAAGCAGAGGGAGGAAGAUGGAUAUAUGAGAGAUUUAAAUUUUUGCUCCAAGAGACUGCACAUUACUUAAAAGACACAAAGUGAGCACUUGCUGUUGGAAAUAAUGGCACCAACAGACUUGCUUGAUACACGGUUGCCACAAACCUUCAAUUUGUGAAAAACACAGUUAUCUAUGAAGUGCAAUGAAGUGAACUGCAACAGAAUGAGGUGUGCCUGUAUUUACAAUUAAAAUUAUGCCCCCAAUGAUUUCAUUCAUCUAUGUUUCCACAAAAUAUUUAUGUAGCAUAGAAUUUAUAUAUUCUCUGGUAAUUUUAGAUCCCAAUCUUACCACUGCUAUUCAACAUAGUUUUGCAAGUCCUAGCCAGAGAAAUCGGGCAAGAGAAAAAUAAAAGUCAUCCAAAUACAAAGAGAGGAAGUCAAACUAUUUCUUCAAAGAUGAUCAUUCUAUACCUAGAAAGCCCCAUAGUCUUUGCCCAAAGGC